CACAUGGGGUUUUUCAUUUUCUUCCCUCCUUUUCAGAAUUAUUCUUCCAUUUCAGGGGCACUGACAUUUAAUCCAGAGGUUUGCUUCUGUCAAUAAUCUUUCUGCAUCUUGAGGUUUCAAAUAACACCAGGAAUUCUUUCAAGUUUUAUGUGCACACCUGUAAUCCCAGAACUUGGGAGGCUGAAGUAGGAUAAUCAGUGUGAAUUGACUGGACUAAGAUGUGAAUCCGCAGUCAACCUGAACUGCAUGGGGAAAACAUGUCUCAAAGAAACAGAAAAAAUAUCAUAUUAUUGUGGAUAUCCUUGGAAGAAGAACUCAAAAGUUUGAAACUCUUAAGAUCAUACCUAUUAUGUUUCAUCUGGUGAGAAUAAGAGACCAGUAAAACUACGUUCAAGGAUAUGGAGAAAACUCAAAAAAUCUUAUUGCAAACUGUCAUAUAGAUGUAAUGCAUUGCCCACCAAAAUAUCAGUAGGAUAGCUCACAAAUGUACAGACAACAUUUCUAAAAUUCAUCUGGAAACAGAAAUGCUCUAGAUCACCAAAGACAUUGCUGGGCAACAAAGGCAAGUCAGCAAGCAUCACAAUUCCUGACUUGCUAUUAUACUAGAAAGCUACUAUUAGAAAAUCAGCAUAGUUAUGGCAGAAAAACAGACCUGAGAAUCAACCAAAAA
This is a long non-coding RNA of Cavia porcellus (domestic guinea pig), 670 nucleotides long. RefSeq lists it as uncharacterized. NCBI's taxonomy places the organism in Eukaryota, Metazoa, Chordata, Mammalia, Rodentia, Caviidae. The transcript has 2 exons. The record is from RefSeq and is a predicted model, not a curated record.